GAGUAAGUUCCAAACGAUAAACAACUAAAUUUUCAGUUUUUUAGGAAAAGCCCCAAUACCGUAAUUAAAUUCUUUAAAAAAAAAAACUAGUAUUAAAAAUUCCCCUUGAACCCUUGGACAACAUUCUGGCGCGGGCUUCGGUCCGUAUCGUCUGUGACCCCCUUUGGAUGUAACUCAAAACUGGAACUAUUCCUCGGGUGUAAACUCA
Long non-coding RNA from Drosophila guanche, 208 nucleotides. RefSeq lists it as uncharacterized. Lineage: Eukaryota; Metazoa; Arthropoda; Insecta; Diptera; Drosophilidae. The record is from RefSeq and is a predicted model, not a curated record. The transcript has 2 exons.